This 441-nucleotide ribosomal RNA is filed under the name uncultured bacterium. Its description in RNAcentral is "partial 16S ribosomal RNA". It matches the Rfam family "Bacterial small subunit ribosomal RNA", at positions 338 to 795 of the family's 1533-position model. The record is from RNAcentral.
CCUACGGGUGGCUGCAGUGGGGGAUAUUGCACAAUGGGGGGAACCCUGAUGCAGUGACGCCGCGUGGGUGAAGGAGUGUUUCGGCGCGUAAAGCCCUAUCAGCAGGGAAGAAGGAGGACGGUACCUGACUAAGAAGCCCCGGCUAACUACGUGCCAGCAGCCGCGGUAAUACGUAGGGGGCAAGCGUUAUCCGGAUUUACUGGGUGUAAAGGGGGCGGAGACGGCGAAGCAAGGCUGGAGUGAAAGCCCGGGGCUCAACCGCGGGACGGCUUUGGAAACUGCUCGGCUGGAGUACCGGAGGGGGAGGCGGAAUUCCUAGUGUAGCGGUGAAAUGCGUAGAUAUCAGGAGGAACACCAGUGGCGAAGGCGGCCUGCUGGACUGUAACUGACGUUGAGGCGCGAAAGCGUGGGGAGCAAACAGGAUUAGAUACCCCAGUAGUC